RNAcentral lists this long non-coding RNA (1175 nucleotides) under Nicotiana benthamiana. RNAcentral's name for it is "long non-coding RNA (NBEN_LNC021009)". Lineage: Eukaryota; Viridiplantae; Streptophyta; Magnoliopsida; Solanales; Solanaceae. The record is from RNAcentral.
UGUAUGUUUGUAUGUGUGUGUGUAUGUGUGUGUGUGUGUCUAUAUAUAUAUAUAUAUAUAUAUAUUAGUAAUUAAUUGCUAUGCUAUAAAUGAAAACACUACUGUUUCAAGUUUAACAUUAAUGAAUGUUUCAAAUGUUAAUAUAUUUGGUUCCAACCUAAAUACAAAAUAAUCCUAGAAGCUGGAAUAUAAAGAUUGCUAUUUCUUUCCCGUUUAGGAAAGUAAUAAUUUGUUGAAACUUCUUAUUGGUCGACAAUCAGAAACUUUGUUUACAUCCCCUCUUCUAAACACAAUCCGUUUGUUUUGUAAAGUUCAACUCAAGAAAAGUAUUGCAAUAUGUGUGAAGUUCUUCGCUACCCUUAGUAUUUGCUAAAACCAAUAAGAAAGAAUGGGUGCAAUGUAAUUUAUCAGAUAAUGACUUUCACAUAAAUGAAAAUUCCCAAUAUACCUUCGGAUUGCAAUGGAGUUGACCUGACCAUAAGAAAUUACUUCAAUUUUACCGCAAAGGUUCCAAUAAAAAUAGUACUACCAAAAGUCUGAAUUAGAAGUGCAGGAUAUACUUGUUGCAUAUAGAAAACAAUAUGGAAUGCACCUAACAGGCCAAAAAAAAGGAUCCGUAAGAAUAAACAACAAAAAAAUAGUACACUGACAACAAUGAGCAAUAAGCAUCAGAAAAAAGGAGAACAAACAAUAAAAGCAAUGGAACUGACCUGACCAUACGAAGUUACUUCAAUUUUACCGCAAAGGCUCCAAUAAAAAUAGUACUACCAAAAGUCUGAAUUAGAAGUGCAGGAUAUACUUGCUGCAUAUAGAAAAGCAAUAUGGAAUGCAUAGAACAGGCCAAAAAAAGGAUUCAUAAGAAUAAACAACAAAAAAACAGUACACUGACAACAAUGAGCAAUACGCAUCAGAAAUAACAGGCCAAAAAAAGGAUCUGUAAGAAUAAACAACAAAAGAAUAGUACACUGACAACAAUGUGCAAUAAGCAUCAGAAAAAAGGAGAACAAACAAUAAUUAAUAGCACUCCUAGUAAUCAUAAUAAAAGGUAUGUAUUACCUGUAUUAGCAGUAGGAUUAUUAUUGUUUGAUGGAUCAGAUGAUCGGCUUGCUUGAGUAGAAGCACCUGUAAUUGUAGUUUGUCUAGAGACACGUCCGCCCGAUGCCAUUGAUUUGUAG